RNAcentral lists this ribosomal RNA (228 nucleotides) under Triticum aestivum (bread wheat). Its description in RNAcentral is "partial small subunit ribosomal RNA". The record is from RNAcentral. Lineage: Eukaryota; Viridiplantae; Streptophyta; Magnoliopsida; Poales; Poaceae.
AUGGACCAUUCCAUCCCUUUUUCCCGUGCAUAUGCAUCGGACUCGGAUGACGAUGGUCCUGAUGAACAAGUUGAUGCGGAGGGGUUCACGGUGAAGGAGGCCGAAGCUUUCGAGAAGGUAUUUGGUCGGGAUCAUCGGACUACAUUGUUCAAGGAUGUUAGUCUCGCGGAUGAAGCCAUGGUAGAUGGUGGCCAAUGUGUACCUCUUGGGGUUAGGCCAAGCUCUCAC